RNAcentral lists this ribosomal RNA (465 nucleotides) under Vreelandella stevensii. RNAcentral's name for it is "partial 16S ribosomal RNA". It matches the Rfam family "Bacterial small subunit ribosomal RNA", at positions 338 to 795 of the family's 1533-position model. The record is from RNAcentral. Lineage: Bacteria; Pseudomonadati; Pseudomonadota; Gammaproteobacteria; Oceanospirillales; Halomonadaceae.
CCUACGGGGUGCAGCAGUGGGGAAUAUUGGACAAUGGGCGAAAGCCUGAUCCAGCCAUGCCGCGUGUGUGAAGAAGGCCUUCGGGUUGUAAAGCACUUUCAGUGGGGAAGAAAGCCUUGGGGCUAAUACCCUCGAGGAAGGACAUCACCCACAGAAGAAGCACCGGCUAACUCAGUGCCAGCAGCCGCGGUAAUACGGAGGGUGCGAGCGUUAAUCGGAAUUACUGGGCGUAAAGCGCGCGUAGGCGGUCUGAUAAGCCGGUUGUGAAAGCCCCGGGCUCAACCUGGGAACGGCAUCCGGAACUGUCAGGCUAGAGUGCAGGAGAGGAAGGUAGAAUUCCCGGUGUAGCGGUGAAAUGCGUAGAGAUCGGGAGGAAUACCAGUGGCGAAGGCGGCCUUCUGGACUGACACUGACGCUGAGGUGCGAAAGCGUGGGUAGCAAACAGGAUUAGAUACCCCGGUAGUC